This 387-nucleotide ribosomal RNA is filed under the name uncultured bacterium. Its description in RNAcentral is "bacterial SSU rRNA". It matches the Rfam family "Bacterial small subunit ribosomal RNA", at positions 30 to 417 of the family's 1533-position model. The record is from RNAcentral.
AUUGAACGCUGGCGGCAGGCCUAACACAUGCAAGUCGAGCGGAUGAAGGGAGCUUGCUCCUGGAUUCAGCGGCGGACGGGUGAGUAAUGCCUAGGAAUCUGCCUGGUAGUGGGGGAUAACGUCCGGAAACGGGCACUAAUACCGCAUACGUCCUGAGGGAGAAAGUGGGGGAUCUUCGGACCUCACGCUAUCAGAUGAGCCUAGGUCGGAUUAGCUAGUUGGUGGGGUAAAGGCCUACCAAGGCGACGAUCCGUAACUGGUCUGAGAGGAUGAUCAGUCACACUGGAACUGAGACACGGUCCAGACUCCUACGGGAGGCAGCAGUGGGGAAUAUUGGACAAUGGGCGCAAGCCUGAUCCAGCCAUACCGCGUGGGUGAAGAAGGCCU